This 476-nucleotide ribosomal RNA is filed under the name uncultured Bacteroidota bacterium. RNAcentral describes it as "bacterial SSU rRNA". It matches the Rfam family "Bacterial small subunit ribosomal RNA", at positions 28 to 504 of the family's 1533-position model. Lineage: Bacteria; Pseudomonadati; Bacteroidota. The record is from RNAcentral.
GAUGAACGCUAGCGGCAGGCCUAAUACAUGCAAGUCGAACGGUAUCCCGUCUUCGGGCGGGAGAGAGUGGCGCACGGGUGCGUAACGCGUAUGCAACCUGCCCCGUACCGGGGGAUAGCCCGGGGAAACCCGGAUUAAUACCCCAUGGCACUCGGUUCCGGCAUCGGGACCGGGUUAAAGAUUCAUCGGUACGGGAUGGGCAUGCGUAGGAUUAGCUGGUUGGCGGUGUAACGGACCACCAAGGCGAUGAUCCUUAGGGGUUCUGAGAGGAAGGUCCCCCACACUGGCACUGAGACACGGGCCAGACUCCUACGGGAGGCAGCAGUAGGGAAUAUUGGGCAAUGGGCGGCAGCCUGACCCAGCCAUGCCGCGUGCAGGAAGAAGGCGUUCUGCGUUGUAAACUGCUUUUAUACGGGAAGAAAAGGCCCAUGCGUGGGACAUUGCCGGUACCGUAUGAAUAAGCACCGGCUAACUCC